This 73-nucleotide transfer RNA is filed under the name Fasciola hepatica (liver fluke). It matches the Rfam family "tRNA". From Rfam's summary of the family: Transfer RNA (tRNA) molecules are approximately 80 nucleotides in length. Their secondary structure includes four short double-helical elements and three loops (D, anti-codon, and T loops). Further hydrogen bonds mediate the characteristic L-shaped molecular structure. tRNAs have two regions of fundamental functional importance: the anti-codon, which is responsible for specific mRNA codon recognition, and the 3' end, to which the tRNAs corresponding amino acid is attached (by aminoacyl-tRNA synthetases). tRNAs cope with the degeneracy of the genetic code in two manners: having more than one tRNA (with a specific anti-codon) for a particular amino acid; and 'wobble' base-pairing, i.e. permitting non-standard base-pairing at the 3rd anti-codon position. The record is from Rfam by way of RNAcentral. Lineage: Eukaryota; Metazoa; Platyhelminthes; Trematoda; Plagiorchiida; Fasciolidae.
ACCGCGACAGCUCAGCUGGUAGAGCAUCAGCCCGAUAUGUGGAGGGUGGCCGGUUCGAUUCCGGCUCGCGGCG